GGCUCUUUGGUUGAAAUGUAUGAAGAGUCGGACCUGCCCGGUGACUAUAUGUUAAACGGCCGCGGUACCCUGACCGUGCAAAGGUAGCAUAAUCAUUUGCCUUUUAAUUGGGGGCUAGUAUGAAUGGUUUGACGAGAAUUGAGCUGUCUCUUAAAAAAUAUUGAGAAAUUAACUUUUAGGUGAAGAGGCCUAAAUUUGGCUGAGGGACAAGAAGACCCUAUUGAACUUUAGUGAUCUUUUAGGUUGAAUACACAUUUAUGUAGAGUUUUCUUGGAGAAAUCUUUAAUUGGGGCGAUUUAGGAACAGACAAAGCUUCCUAUAAAUUUAUUUGUGGCGGUCAUGUUUUUGAUCCAGUAUUAUUGAUUAAAGGAAAAAGUUACCAUAGGGAUAACAGCGUAAUCUUCUUGGAGAGUUCGUAUCGAAAAGUGGGUUUGCGACCUCGAUGUUGGAUUAAGAUAUCCGGGGGAUGUAGAAGUUCCCAAUGGUUGGUC
Molecule: ribosomal RNA, 491 nt
Filed under: Spinicalliotropis chalkeie
Lineage: Eukaryota; Metazoa; Mollusca; Gastropoda; Seguenziida; Calliotropidae
Description: partial 16S rRNA
Rfam family: Bacterial large subunit ribosomal RNA
Source: RNAcentral